AACUGGCCCAGCAGAUCAAGCAGGAAGUGCGGCAGGAGGUGGAAGAGUGGGUGGCCUCAGGUAACAAAUGGCUAUACCUGAGCAUGAACCUGGUCAGCGAGAAUCCUGCAAGUAACUCAUGUCCUCAACAAAACCAGGGCAGCUGCAGAUGUGGUUAUCAAUGGUGAGACGAUUAUGAAACCAGCUUCAAUUUCAGAGGAAGAAUUGUUGAAUUUAAUCAAUAAACUGAAUAAUAAUGUAGAUGGCCUUAUUCAGCUGCCUCUUCCAGGCAUAUUGAUGACAGAAAGACCUGUAAUGCCUUUCUCCAGACAAGGAUGUCGAUGACUUUUAUGUAAUUAAUGUAGGGCAAAUGUGUUUGGACCAGUAUUCCACGUUACCAGCUGCCCCAUGGGGUGUGUGGGAAAUAAUUAAGCAAACUGGCAUUCCCACCCUAGGGAAGAGUGUGGUUGUGGCUGGAAGGUCAAAAAAUGUUGAAAUGCCAGUUGCAAUGUUACUGCACACAGAUGGGGCGCAUGAAGGUCCCAGAGGUGAUGCUACUGUUACAAUAUCUCAUGGAUACACUCCCAAAGAGCAGCUGAAGAAGCAUACCAUUCUUGCAGAUAUUGUAAUAUCUGCUGCAGACAUUCCAAAUCUCAUCACAGCACAUAUGAUCAAGGAAGGAGCAGCCAUCAUUAAUGUGGGAAUAAAUAGAGUUCAAGAUCCCGUAACUGCAAACCCAAGUUAGUUGGAGAUGUGGAUUUUGAAGGAGUCAGACAAAAAGCUGGUUAUAUCACUCCAGUUCCUGGAGGUGUUGGCCCCAAAACAGUGGUGAUGCUAAUGAAGAAUACCAUUAUUACUGCAAAAA
RNAcentral lists this long non-coding RNA (844 nucleotides) under Homo sapiens (human). Its description in RNAcentral is "non-protein coding lnc-CACNA2D1-2:1". The record is from RNAcentral. Lineage: Eukaryota; Metazoa; Chordata; Mammalia; Primates; Hominidae.